RNAcentral lists this ribosomal RNA (466 nucleotides) under uncultured bacterium. Its description in RNAcentral is "partial 16S ribosomal RNA". It matches the Rfam family "Bacterial small subunit ribosomal RNA", at positions 339 to 795 of the family's 1533-position model. The record is from RNAcentral.
CUACGGGAGGCUCCAGUGAGGAAUUUUGCGCAAUGGGGGGAACCCUGACGCAGCAACGCCGCGUGAGUGAUGAAGGCUUUCGGGUCGUAAAGCUCUGUCAAGUGGGAAGAACCUAUGCAGUGUUAAUAUCACUGUAUACUGACGGUACCACUGAAGGAAGCACCGGCUAACUCCGUGCCAGCAGCCGCGGUAAUACGGGGGGUGCAAGCGGUUAUUCGGAAUCAUUGGGCGUAAAGGGCACGUAGGCGGCUUGGUAAGUCAGGUGUGAAAGCCCGGGGCUUAACCCCGGAAGUGCAUUCGAUACUGUCAGGCUAGAGUAUGGGAGAGGGAAGUGGAAUUCCUGGUGUAGAGGUGAAAUUCGUAGAUAUCAGGAGGAACACCGGUGGCGAAGGCGACUUCCUGGACCAGUACUGACGCUGAGGUGCGAAGGCGUGGGUAGCAAACAGGAUUAGAUACCCUCGUAGUC